GUCAGGAUGGCCGAGUGGUCUAAGGCGCCAGACUCAAGUUCUGGUCUCCAAAGGGAGGCGUGGGUUCAAAUCCCACUUCUGACA
RNAcentral lists this transfer RNA (84 nucleotides) under Loxodonta africana (African savanna elephant). Its description in RNAcentral is "tRNA-Leu (CAA) (tRNA-Leu-CAA-6-1, tRNA-Leu-CAA-6-2)". It matches the Rfam family "tRNA". Rfam says of the family: Transfer RNA (tRNA) molecules are approximately 80 nucleotides in length. Their secondary structure includes four short double-helical elements and three loops (D, anti-codon, and T loops). Lineage: Eukaryota; Metazoa; Chordata; Mammalia; Proboscidea; Elephantidae. The record is from RNAcentral.